RNAcentral lists this ribosomal RNA (468 nucleotides) under uncultured bacterium. Its description in RNAcentral is "partial 16S ribosomal RNA". It matches the Rfam family "Bacterial small subunit ribosomal RNA", at positions 28 to 507 of the family's 1533-position model. The record is from RNAcentral.
GACGAACGCUGGCGGCGUGCUUAACACAUGCAAGUCGAACGGUAAGGCCCUGCUUUUGUUGGGUGCUCGAGUGGCGAACGGGUGAGUAACACGUGAGUAGCCUGCCCUUGACUUUGGGAUAACUUCAGGAAACUGGGGCUAAUACCGGAUAGGAGCUCCUGCUGCAUGGUGGGGGUUGGAAAGUUUCGGCGGUUGGGGAUGGACUCGCGGCUUAUCAGCUUGUUGGUGGGGUAGUGGCUUACCAAGGCUUUGACGGGUAGCCGGCCGGGGAGGGUGACCGGCCACAUUGGGACUGAGAUACGGCCCAGACUCCGACGGGAGGAAGCAGUGGGGAAUAUUGCACAAUGGGCGGAAGCCUGAUGCAGCAACGCCGCGUGCGGGAUGACGGCCUUCGGGUUGUAAACCGCUUUCGCCUGUGACGAAGCGUGAGUGACGGUAAUGGGUAAAGAAGCACCGGCUAACUACGUG